This 250-nucleotide long non-coding RNA is filed under the name Trifolium pratense (red clover). RNAcentral's name for it is "long non-coding RNA (TPRA_LNC008144)". The record is from RNAcentral. Lineage: Eukaryota; Viridiplantae; Streptophyta; Magnoliopsida; Fabales; Fabaceae.
GUUUAUCUAAGAACUCAAAAUUAAUUUCCCUACCUAAUACUGUAGUGGUUAUACCAUUUUCAUCUACUUUAAGGGGGUAAAGUAAGGUUAAAAAGGGUGUUCCUAGAAUAAUUUCUUCUGUAAUAUUUUUUACUAACAAAAAGGAAGUUAUGUAACAAACUUUAUCUUUACAAACUUUAGCGUUAGAUAAUUUAUAAGAUACUUGUAAUCUAGUUCCAUUAGCUCCUCUUAAUGAUUCCUUAGUUUUUUC